UUUAUAUUGAUGUUCAAAACCCGCAGUUAAACGCGCCACAAUAUUUUUUAUAAAUCCGUUUAAAGUUGACAUUUGAAUAUUAAAUACACAAAUGCACAUGUACAUACCCGAUGGCCACACUUCCCACCAGUUAAUCCCAGUUUCCGCCUUAAAUUGUCUGUAUAGUUUCAAACGAGGCUUCGGGUCGUUAUCCUGUUGAAGUCGGUGACCGAACCGGCAAUUAGUGUUAAUAAACGGAACCAAAGAUUCUUUCAAUAUGUUUUCCGUAAAAAGCACACUGUUCAUUAUUCCGUAAAAAAAAUACUAUCUGUGUAGCACCACGGCGGCUAAUGCCAGCCCACACAUGAUUUUUAAGGAGAUGUUUUGGCUUAGGUAUGGAUGUUCUUACUGAUCAUGCCGGUCUGUAGCUAGUUGUUCUGUUGUUGUGCAGCUGCACUGAGCUUUCGUGGGCGAAUAUUACGUGAUUGUCAUUUGAACUAAUUAGAGCGUUGCAAAAAUAAAUCCGAUGUUGAAGAUUACGCUCCUUGACCAUCUGCGAGUAACGCGGCAUGCUAUUGGUAAAUACGUGAAACUCUAACCAUGUUUGCUUGUAAUUUAGUUUGGAUCAAUACUAUUGCAAUUAAAGUUAACAAAACAUUCAUUUAUUUCAUCGCGUGGCGGGUGUCAAUAAUUUCACAAGUCUUAGUGAAUAUACAGCACGGCGUUCCAUAAUACACUUAUGGACUGAAGCCAGAUUCGAGUCCCGUGUGAAAUCAAAUUUUGUUUAUUGUCUUAAAACUAUUAUAUAUUUUAUUAUUACACGACAUUAUGCAACUGUAACAAUAUCUUCUAAUGUUCUUGAUGUCUUUUUUUAAUUAAGUUAUUUUGCAUCCAACAAUAAAUGUGCGGUCUACUGUGAACACCAAUUAAAGUACAUGUACCAGUAUUCUUUAAGCUACAAGAAUAGUCAUUCUGGAAACAAUAUAAUGUGACACGCAUAGUGUUCUAUAUAGGUUUCAUUCCACUAAAUCAUUUACGCGUAGUGAUCGAACAUAUUCUUUUUGUGGUUAUUUCCUGUAUCCUGUAUGUGUCCGCAACGAUUUGGUGCAUUUCAUUGCGGGAAACUUGAUAUAUAGGAAAAGCCAAAACAAUUCUUUGAAAGUUGGCAGUUUUAUAACCAUUUUCAUGUAUACGAAUUUGUCACUGUGAUAGGCUUAUAUUAACUAUCGCUGGAUUGUCUUGACAGCCUGCAGAAUUACACAGUAACACAAUUAAUAUAUAAUUUUUGAAAACAAUAAUAAUAUUUAUGUAAAUUAUAUUAACACUAUUUAAUAUAAUAUUUUGUUUAUAGCACACUUCAGGUGAUAGUAUGGCUGACUUUUAGUGUUCAAUGGAGCAGAAGUAGCUGUUGGCGUUAUUCUAGCCGAAGGUCGAGAGACCGAAAUGGUAACAGUCCUGAAAUUGCACGAAAAAAACGGGCCCCGCAGUUCCAAAGCCCCAAAAGCAAAAGACAAAGGCCGGAAAACCCACUGCGACUGUCCUUUUGAGGGUUCUCCAAGCGACUGCCACAACCCAGCCACAAACCGAUUUGGUACCCACGACUACGAUCGAGGAAAAAACUACAUGUACAACAACGACCCAGCCAUCGAUGACGACGACGACCACCACAUCUGAAUCGGAAGAAACAACGUCAUCAACGAAGACGACCGCAAAGCAAGGAGCAACAACGCCAGCAACAACGACGACCGCUUAUCAAGGAGCAACAGCACCAGCAACAACGACGACCGCCACCUUAGGAGCAACAGUUUCCACUACGACGACGAUUACGCCAAGUCAUGUAACUGCUCGGAGCGAUGCCAUGCCAGGAUGCCUGAUUUCGGCAUUGAACCAGGUCGUCAACAGCAUUAGGAUUAUGCAGAGGGAACAGGAGUUGGCAACAAGCAGAAGACCAGACAAGAGCCAUACAUGCACUAACCACUGAGUUAGGGGAGGUACGCUCGAUGACGGGGACGAUGAUUGGCAUGCUUGCCCAAUCUUCUAGACCCCAAACAACGGAAAUCUCGGACGUUACAGGAUCAGAUUCACCCACGCGGUGGUAAUCUCCGAUGAGGAGUUGAAGUCAAUCCGUACUACGUCGUUGAUUUAUUCAUUGCCGCAAACAUCAAAAGCCUCUAUAAAUACAAUGGUGGUGGACAGAGCAUAACAACCGUAAAGUCCAACAAGAAAGUCAGCAGUGAAACGGUAUGUUACAAGGUUCUUUCCGAGGCUACGGAUCCAGAAGCCUGAAAUGCGCAGUGUGUAUCCAUAAUCAACGAAAUCCUGCGCCGCCCAGCCAUCGCGACAACUCAUUGAUUUCCAGCCUCUGGAGUCACCUGGACCACUUGACAGGUCAAUGUUUCUGUAUUGACGACCUGAAAUUUAAAUGUACAUGGUGUAAAAAUAUUUUUAUGAUAUUCGUAUUGAUUUGAUGUAGUUUGUUUAUGCAUGUAUGUCUGUGUGUAUGUAUGAAUGUGUCUUUAUUGAUUUGAUGUAAUUGUUUUCUGUAUGUAUGUCUGUGUGUAUGAAUGACUGUGUCCUUAUUGAUUUGAUGUAGUUUGUUUCUGUUUGUACAUGUAUGUUGUUUGUAUGUAUAACUGUGUCCAUAUCGAUUCGAUUUACAUUGUAAGUUGUUUUUGUAUGUUUGUCUGUGUAUGUAUGACUGUGUCCUUAGUGAUUUGAUGAAGUUCUUUUCUGUAUGUAUGUCUAUAUGUAUGUAUGCCUGUGUAAGUAUUUGUUGAUGUAUAUAUAUAUGUAUGUAUCUUUAAUGUAAAUUGUGUAUAUAAAUAGAAAUUGUAUAAAACAAAUCAAAAGCGUACUGUGUCCUUGAUGUGCAAUAAAUACAAUUUCAGGCGAA
Molecule: long non-coding RNA, 2872 nt
Organism: Dreissena polymorpha
Lineage: Eukaryota; Metazoa; Mollusca; Bivalvia; Myida; Dreissenidae
Exons: 2
Source: RefSeq, a predicted model, not a curated record